UCGGUAGCGCAUAUAUUAUACUAAAAGCGGAGCGAUACAGAGGUUAGCCUGGCACCUGUGCAAGGAUGACAUGCAAAUUCGUGAAGCAUGUCGUAUUUUU
This 100-nucleotide small nuclear RNA is filed under the name Aotus nancymaae (Ma's night monkey). Lineage: Eukaryota; Metazoa; Chordata; Mammalia; Primates; Aotidae. The record is from RNAcentral.